CGAGUCUUAACCGGGCGUUAAGUUGCAGGGUAUAGACCCGAAACCCGGUGAUCUAGCCAUGGGCAGGUUGAAGGUUGGGUAACACUAACUGGAGGACCGAACCGACUAAUGUUGAAAAAUUAGCGGAUGACCUGUGGCUGGGGGUGAAAGGCCAAUCAAACCGGGAGAUAGCUGGUUCUCCCCGAAAGCUAUUUAGGUAGCGCCUCGUGAAUUCAUCUCCGGGGGUAGAGCACUGUUUCGGCUAGGGGGCCAUCCCGGCUUACCAACCCGAUGCAAACUGCGAAUACCGGAGAAUGUUAUCACGGGAGACACACGGCGGGUGCUAACGUCCGUCGUGAAGAGGGAAACAACCCAGACCGCCAGCUAAGGUCCCAAAGUCAUGGUUAAGUGGGAAACGAUGUGGGAAGGCCCAGACAGCCAGGAUGUUGGCUUAGAAGCAGCCAUCAUUUAAAGAAAGCGUAAUAGCUCACUGGUCGAGUCGGCCUGCGCGGAAGAUGUAACGGGGCUAAACCAUGCACCGAAGCUGCGGCAGCGAACGUAUCACUUAAAGCGAUUCAGCGGGUUACGAUUGACGGAGCGAAGCGACGUCAAAGCGUAUACAAAGUCGAGUCGGUUUAAGGAUACGUUCGUUGGGUAGGGGAGCGUUCUGUAAGCCUGUGAAGGUGUGUCGUGAGGCAUGCUGGAGGUAUCAGAAGUGCGAAUGCUGACAUAAGUAACGAUAAAGCGGGUGAAAAGCCCGCUCGCCGGAAGACCAAGGGUUCCUGUCCAACGUUAAUCGGGGCAGGGUGAGUCGACCCCUAAGGCGAGGCCGAAAGGCGUAGUCGAUGGGAAACGGGUUAAUAUUCCCGUACUUGGUGUUACUGCGAAGGGGGGACGGAGAAGGCUAUGUUGGCCGGGCGACGGUUGUCCCGGUUUAAGCGUGUAGGUGUGUGUUCCAGGUAAAUCCGGUUCACUUUAACACUGAGGCGUGAUGACGAGGCACUACGGUGCUGAAGCAACAAAUGCCCUGCUUCCAGGAAAAGCCUCUAAGCAUCAGGUAACAUCAAAUCGUACCCCAAACCGACACAGGUGGUCAGGUAGAGAAUACCAAGGCGCUUGAGAGAACUCGGGUGAAGGAACUAGGCAAAAUGGUGCCGUAACUUCGGGAGAAGGCACGCUGACACGUAGGUGAAGUGAUUUACUCAUGGAGCUGAAGUCAGUCGAAGAUACCAGCUGGCUGCAACUGUUUAUUAAAAACACAGCACUGUGCAAACACGAAAGUGGACGUAUACGGUGUGACGCCUGCCCGGUGCCGGAAGGUUAAUUGAUGGGGUCAGCGCAAGCGAAGCUCCUGAUCGAAGCCCCGGUAAACGGCGGCCGUAACUAUAACGGUCCUAAGGUAGCGAAAUUCCUUGUCGGGUAAGUUCCGACCUGCACGAAUGGCGUAAUGAUGGCCAGGCUGUCUCCACCCGAGACUCAGUGAAAUUGAACUCGCUGUGAAGAUGCAGUGUACCCGCGGCAAGACGGAAAGACCCCGUGAACCUUUACUAUAGCUUGACACUGAACAUUGAGCCUUGAUGUGUAGGAUAGGUGGGAGGCUUUGAAGCGUGGACGCCAGUCUGCGUGGAGCCGACCUUGAAAUACCACCCUUUAAUGUUUGAUGUUCUAACGUGGACCCGUAAUCCGGGUUGCGGACAGUGUCUGGUGGGUAGUUUGACUGGGGCGGUCUCCUCCUAAAGAGUAACGGAGGAGCACGAAGGUUGGCUAAUCCUGGUCGGACAUCAGGAGGUUAGUGCAAUGGCAUAAGCCAGCUUGACUGCGAGCGUGACGGCGCGAGCAGGUGCGAAAGCAGGUCAUAGUGAUCCGGUGGUUCUGAAUGGAAGGGCCAUCGCUCAACGGAUAAAAGGUACUCCGGGGAUAACAGGCUGAUACCGCCCAAGAGUUCAUAUCGACGGCGGUGUUUGGCACCUCGAUGUCGGCUCAUCACAUCCUGGGGCUGAAGUAGGUCCCAAGGGUAUGGCUGUUCGCCAUUUAAAGUGGUACGCGAGCUGGGUUUAGAACGUCGUGAGACAGUUCGGUCCCUAUCUGCCGUGGGCGCUGGAGAACUGAGGGGGGCUGCUCCUAGUACGAGAGGACCGGAGUGGACGCAUCACUGGUGUUCGGGUUGUCAUGCCAAUGGCACUGCCCGGUAGCUAAAUGCGGAAGAGAUAAGUGCUGAAAGCAUCUAAGCACGAAACUUGCCCCGGGAUGAGUUCUCCCUGAGACUUAGAGUCUCCUGAAGGAACGUUGAAGACGACGACGUUGAUAGGCCGGGUGUGUAAGCGCAGCGAUGCGUUGAGCUAACCGGUACUAAUGAACCGUGAGGCUUAACCUUACAACGCCGAA
Molecule: ribosomal RNA, 2364 nt
Filed under: Salmonella enterica
Lineage: Bacteria; Pseudomonadati; Pseudomonadota; Gammaproteobacteria; Enterobacterales; Enterobacteriaceae
Also listed under: 1 other name
Description: partial 23S ribosomal RNA
Rfam family: Bacterial large subunit ribosomal RNA
Source: RNAcentral